This 2494-nucleotide long non-coding RNA is filed under the name Nothobranchius furzeri (turquoise killifish). RNAcentral's name for it is "lncRNA (ENSNFUG00015010801.1)". The record is from RNAcentral. Lineage: Eukaryota; Metazoa; Chordata; Actinopteri; Cyprinodontiformes; Nothobranchiidae.
AUGCUUCUGCCUCAGUGCGGAGGCACGCAACACCAUUAUCCGUCCUUGCGGGCCUGCUGGAGAGCCCCACAAGGAGGAGUGAAAAGAUACACAGCAGGUAUUUUAUUUGUGGACGGAAAUGACAGGAAAUGUGGGUUUAGAGGUGGCGAGCCCAUGAAGAGGUGGAGGAGAAUGAGAGACAAAUUUGUCCGUGUUAAAAAGUCUCUUAUAUACUGUACAAAAAAACACAAUAUAAACACACUAUCUUGGACCGGAUACAUGACAGGAUACCACAGAACAGCGCUACGCCCUCUGUGGUCCUGCCGGGCAAUUGCUUUGCAACUCUCCCCAGGAGACGGAGAAGUAUGAAAGCAAAACGCUUCCAUCAAUCCGUGCGUGUCUGUCCCUUGCGGAGCUGACGGAGAAGCAUAAACCAGGCUUAAGGGUCCAAACAGGCAGAGGUUUGUGGGGCCCACUAGAGGACCAGUAUGGGGUCAGACAGUCUAAGCCUCCCUCUGUGUUGGAGAUGGCCCUGGGAUAGGUGGCUCAGACACACACACCCCCGUGAGAACGACUGAGCUGCAUAGUUCCCUGGAACACAAAGAAAUAUACACGCCAGUGAAUAAAGUCUGUUUAACCAACCAUCCUGAAGUAUGUCUAUGCGUACAGUACAGGGAGACAAAUCACACACCUUGGUUCACAGAUUUUCAAUGGAAACAUGAAACACACACACACACACACAAAAUAUAUACAUAUAUAUUUAUAUCAAGCAGACAGAUCAUAUUUAAUGUGUUAAUGUGUAUUUUAAUUUAAACAGAAAACAUGCAGAAACCUUGAGGAUGCUGACAAAUAUUUAUCUCCAUGGCAACUGCAGGUUUGCAGAGGAAAGGACAUUCAAAAGUGUCCAUAAACUGAAAACCCAGAUAAUCCGUCAAGGUGAAUUUAUGUUCUAUUAUCCUGUCAAGUAUCUGCAUGUUAGUAAUUCUUGCUGCCUGAUGAUUUAUUUAUCACUUUUCUUCAUGGCAGCAGCAGUUCAGUUUUCCAUAAGAAGAUUGAAUUUCAUUUUUCAGUUGGAGGAAGACAGUUAGACAUAAUAACAUGUUUUGCUGCUGUAGAAGAACACAAUGUCUCAGUUCCAUGUACAGCCAACAUUGUUUCUGUUAAUUGUCACUUUUAUCUCAAAACAAACUAAAACAUCCUCACAAUAAAAUGAUAGGAGCAAAACAAUAGCGGUGUUCACCGAAGAUGCCAAAUUCUUUUCAUUUUUGAAAAUUUGGAAUGGACUGUUCCAAGAGAGGGAGAGCAGCAUUAGUUAGUUUUACCCUCUGGAGGCAGGCGUUGCAGAUUUGCAACAGUUAAAACCUACCUACCUGGUUACUCCACAUAUGUCUUUCAUGAGCAUUUUUGACUCAGAAGUACCCCUGAAUGGCUUAGUUGUUCGUCCUUUUAUCAAAACUUAUUUUGAGCCUGAGAGGGUAAAAAGUGAUGAUUAUACACUCCAUGAUUUCUGGUAAGGUAAUAACUUUCUAUAGUGUUAAAUGUAUGUAACACUUCUUUAAUUAAUACAUUUGCAGUAGUCUCUAGUAGGAAUGAAUGCUUUGAAUGUCGUACUCUGCGAUGCUGAUGUUUUAUUUCCACAAAAAACACAAGCCUGGAGGAGUUCUGCUGUGUGGUGCUACUAAUGCUAACAGUUAGCAUCUACUGGUCAAGAUGUUUUCUGCAGUUUCCUGGGCAUUAAACCAACCAACAACAGCCUUCCCCGACACUAGUCAAGAUGGGUGAGCCAAUGAAUGUUAAGUGACAGUGUGACAUAGAUAUGUCAGGCUUUUCAAAUCCUAGAGUUUCAUCGUCUAUUUUCUAUCAGAAGCUAAUGAGGAGAUAGGUGUAAGAGACUGUUUUCAUGUUCAACCUGCAUGAAACACUCACCCCGGCUUUCCACAGGAGCUGUCAGCAGCACGUUACUGCAGCAGCACGUCUUGCUCGCGCAAACUGCUGCUUGGCCCUUCACACAAGACGCGAAGCAGCAGAGGAGCAGCUGUCACCGACCGAGCACGAAGUCACACGAGUGACUUCGUCAGUAAACACAACAAGCAGGAAAAAACUACAACAUGGCUCCAAAAGGUUUGUGUUUUAUGUUCUGUCCGUUUUAUAAUCGCCAAUACGGACCUGAAAAACAAAGGAGACCGCUAGCUAGGUGAUAACUUCUCACAGUAACUGUUUUUAAAAGUAAAGCAACCGGAAGGCAUUACGUUUCUUUAUUCUGAAAAUCUCGGGAGCUUCUCUCCAUUUCCGCGUCCGAUUUCCUGUCUUUCCUUCCCCCAAAAUGUCGAACUUGACCCGUUUCAGAGGCGUUGCGUAGAAAAUAGAACCGGCGCGUAAAGGCCGCGACAUGCUGCUCCUGAGACGCGGCCGACUCGCGCUGCUGACGGCUCCAGUGGAAAAGGUUCUGUUGACCACAGCGGUUCCUAUCAGCAGCUAUGACGUGCUGCUGCAGUAACGUGCUGCUGACGGCUCC